AGUGGAUGGGGAGCAACCUAGUUGUGCGUGUGUAAAGGUAGUGCCAAGAAAAGCGAUGAUCAUGUUGAAAAUCAAUUCCCGGUACCCGAAACCGACACAGGUGGGCAAGUAGAGAAUACUAAGGGGCGCGAGGUAACUCUCUCCAAGGAACUCGGCAAAAUGACCCCGUAACUUAGGGAGAAGGGGUGCCACCGAGAGGUGGUCGCAGUGAAGAGGCCCAGGCGACUGUUUAGCAAAAACAUAGGUCUCUGCAAACUCGUAGAGGAGGUAUAGGGGCUGACGCCUGCCCAGUGCCGGAAGGUUAAAGAAGUUGGUCAGUUUUAGGAUGAAGCUAGCGACUGAAGCCCCGGUGAACGGCGGCCGUAACUAUAACGGUCCUAAGGUAGCGAAAUUCCUUGUCGGGUAAGUUCCGACCCGCACAAAAGGCGUAACGAUCUGGCGCUGUCUCGGAGAGAGGCUCGGCGAAAUAGGAUUGUCUGUGAAGAUACGGACUACCUGCAUUUGGACAGAAAGACCCUAUGAAGCUUUACUAUAGCUUGGAAUUGUGUUCGGGCUUCCUGUGCGCAGGAUAGGUGGGAGGCGUAGAAGGUAUUCUUGUGGGGAUACUGGAGCCAACGGUGAGAUACCACUCUCAGGAGGCUAGAAUUCUAACUUAAUUAAGGACAGUUUCAGGUGGGUAGUUUGACUGGGGCGGUCGCCUCCAAAAAGGUAACGGAGGCGUACAAAGGUUCCCUCAGACUGGUUGGAAAUCAGUCGAAGAGUGCAAAGGCAGAAGGGAGCUACUGCGAGAAGUACAGUUCGAGCAGGGUGGAAACACGGUCUUAGUGAUCCGACGGUGCUGUGUGGAAGGGCCGUCGCUCAACGGAUAAAAGUUACUCUAAGGAUAACAGGCUGAUCUCCCCCAAGAGUUCACAUCGACGGGGAGGUUUGGCACCUCGAUGUCGGCUCAUCGCAACCUGGGGCGGAAGUACGUCCCAGGGGUUGGGCUGUUCGCCCAUUAAAGCGGUACGUGAGCUGGGUUCAGAACGUCGUGAGACAGUUCGGUCCAUAUCCGAUGUAGGCGUGAGAAUAUUGAGAGGAGCCUUCCUUAGUACGAGAGGACCGGGAAGGACGCACCGCUGGUGUACCUGUUAUGAUGCCAAUUGUAAACGCAGGGUAGCCAAGUGCGGAGAGGAUAACCGCUGAAAGCAUCUAAGUGGGAAGCCCACCUCAAGAUGAGUAUUCUGGUGUAAGGUCACGGGAAGACGACCCGUAAAUAGGCACGAGGUGGAAGUGCAGAGAUGUAUGAAGCCGAAGUGUACUAAUAGACCGUCGGCUUGACC
Molecule: ribosomal RNA, 1322 nt
Filed under: metagenome
Description: bacterial LSU rRNA
Rfam family: Bacterial large subunit ribosomal RNA
Source: RNAcentral